Molecule: long non-coding RNA, 730 nt
Filed under: Pan troglodytes (chimpanzee)
Lineage: Eukaryota; Metazoa; Chordata; Mammalia; Primates; Hominidae
Description: long non-coding RNA NONPTRT008255
Source: RNAcentral
AUGAGUUGGUACUUGUUUCUAAAAAAUUUCUGACAAGCCUCACAUGCAUAUGGCUUUUCUCCAUUGUGAAUUCUCUGGUGUACAAGGAGGUGAGACUUCUUCUUAAAUAAUUUUCCACAUUCCCUACAUACAUAAGGUCUUUCUCCAGUAUGGCCAUGCUGGUGUAGAAUGAGGUUACCCUUGUGACUAAAACAUUUCCCACAUUCCCCACACUUAAAAGGUCUUUCUGUAGUGUGAACUCGCUGAUGAUUCCUAAGGUGUCCUUUUUCAUUAAAAGAUUUCCCACAGUCUCCACACUUGUAAGGUCUUUCUCCAGUGUGCAUGCGCUGAUGGUGAACAAGGCUGCGCUUAUGACUAAAAGAUUUCCCACAUUCCCCACAGUGAUAAGCUCUCUCUCCAGUGUGACCUCGCUGAUGUUGAAUGAGGUUACCCUUUUGACCAAAAGAUUUCCCAUAUUCUCUACACUCAUAAGGCCCUUCUCCAGUGUGAACACGCUGAUGGCUAAUAAGGCUGCCCUUCUGACUAAAAGAUUUCCCACACUCCCCACAGGGAUAAGCUGUCUUUCCAGUGUGGACUCGCUGAUGUUGAAUAAGGCUGCUCUUUCGACUAUAAGAUUUCCCACACUCUCCACAAUCAUAAGGUCCUUUUCCAGUGUGAUCUCGCUGAUGAUUACUGAAGCUGACAUAUCUGCUAAAGGAUUUUCCACAAUCACUGCACACAUAACAUCCAU